GAUGAACGCUGGCGGCGUGCCUAAUACAUGCAAGUAGAACGCUGAAGGAAGGAGCUUGCUCUUUCCGGAUGAGUUGCGAACGGGUGAGUAACGCGUAGGUAACCUGCCUGGUAGCGGGGGAUAACUAUUGGAAACGAUAGCUAAUACCGCAUAACAGUAGAUGUUGCAUGAUAUCUACUUAAAAGGUGCAAUUGCACCACUACCAGAUGGACCUGCGUUGUAUUAGCUAGUUGGUGAGGUAACGGCUCACCAAGGCGACGAUACAUAGCCGACCUGAGAGGGUGAUCGGCCACACUGGGACUGAGACACGGCCCAGACUCCUACGGGAGGCAGCAGUAGGGAACCUUCGGCAAUGGACGGAAGUCUGACCGAGCAACGCCGCGUGAGUGAAGAAGGUUUUCGGAUCGUAAAGCUCUGUUGUAAGAGAAGAACGAGUGUGAGAGUGGAAAGUUCACACUGUGACGGUAUCUUACCAGAAAGGGACGGCUAACUACGUG
RNAcentral lists this ribosomal RNA (497 nucleotides) under uncultured bacterium. Its description in RNAcentral is "partial 16S ribosomal RNA". It matches the Rfam family "Bacterial small subunit ribosomal RNA", at positions 28 to 507 of the family's 1533-position model. The record is from RNAcentral.